Molecule: ribosomal RNA, 464 nt
Filed under: uncultured bacterium
Lineage: Bacteria
Description: partial 16S ribosomal RNA
Rfam family: Bacterial small subunit ribosomal RNA
Source: RNAcentral
GACGAACGCUGGCGGCGUGCUUAACACAUGCAAGUCGAACGGAAAGGCCCUGCUUGCAGGGUACUCGAGUAGCGAACGGGUGAGUAACACGUGGGUGAUCUGCCCUGCACUUCGGGAUAAGCCUGGGAAACUGGGUCUAAUACCGGAUAGGAGCCAUUUUUAGUGUGAUGGUUGGAAAGUUUUUUCGGUGUAGGAUGAGCUCGCGGCCUAUCAGCUUGUUGGUGGGGUAAUGGCCUACCAAGGCGGCGACGGGUAGCCGGCCUGAGAGGGUGGACGGCCACAUUGGGACUGAGAUACGGCCCAGACUCCUACGGGAGGCAGCAGUGGGGAAUAUUGCACAAUGGGCGCAAGCCUGAUGCAGCGACGCCGCGUGGGGGAUGACGGCCUUCGGGUUGUAAACUCCUUUCGCUAGGGACGAAGCUUUUGUGACGGUACCUAGAUAAGAAGCACCGGCUAACUACGUG